Acinonyx jubatus (cheetah) is the source of this 6274-nucleotide long non-coding RNA. RefSeq lists it as uncharacterized. The record is from RefSeq and is a predicted model, not a curated record. Lineage: Eukaryota; Metazoa; Chordata; Mammalia; Carnivora; Felidae. The transcript has 2 exons.
CUCCCUGAGGCCUGGGGUGGGAGUUGGGGGGGAGGUACUGCAGGGCCGAAUGGGAAGGGAGAAACGAGGACCCCUGGAACAGGGGCCUUCCCACUUUCUUUAUAGGGGUUAGAGUGGGAGCUGCCAUUGGUGGGCAGGGCCAAGCCCCCUGCCACUGAUUGGCUCUCGGGAGAGCACGUGACUCAAACUGGCCAAUCAGCCCUUCCCAAGAGUGCGCUCUGGGGCGUGGGAGCCAGCCGAGGGGAGGCACAGAGGGGACAAGGAGCUGCCAGGUGGAGAUGGGGCGGGAGGAGGGGGAGCUGGGCGCCUGUCCCGCCUGACUGGGGGAGCCAGAGAGGCCGGCUCGGGCCUCACCUUGGGAGGGCCCAGCAGCGUGACUUACUGGCAUCUGCCCAGCCUCAGUUUCUGCAUCUGGAAAGCGGAGGCGAUAAUCGCUGCCCGGCCGCCCUGCCCUAGACGGCAGUGAGCAGCGCCGGCUGGAGACGCAGGGCACGAAAGUGCUGCCUACCUGUGUGUAAUCUUAAUUCACUCAUCGUCCAGAGCGGUGACGAGGAGGGCGAGGAUCGCGAUGGCCACUGUCAAUCAAACCACACCAAUUCCCUGCGCAAGUACGGCGUCUUCCUGCCUCUGCAUUUUCUUAACCAUCCGUGAGAGAGUCAGUAGAGCCGUUGUGUAAAUUAGACACGAGCACAACUUCUCCUGUUGCAUAGCGUGCUCCGGGUUGGGCACCUGGUGGACCACUAAGUAUCCCAUUGGUCUUGCCAAGUAAUGACUGCCGGGGCCCAGCUUCGGCUGCAUCAGGGGACCAGCUAAUGUGAACCCGCAGUGCCUCCGGGCCCCAGACAACAGGGGUCCCUUAGAACACAGUAAUUGAGGGGAAUCGCUAAAGGGAAAGCAAGUUCAGGAGAGGGCAAACGCACACCGACACCAGACCGAAUCAUUUUUGCUGACUUGGUAGAGAAGAAGCUUGGAGGGAAGGUUCCAGAAGGUCUUGUGCUGUACUAUUCUACCAGAAAGCUGCGUCCGUUUUGAAUGAAGGGAACUUACACUAACGUUCAGAGGAGCACAGCAGCGUUGUGGCAGGAGUCCCUGGGUCGCCUGGUGUCCUGGAGGGGCUGGUGUAGAUGGAGGCAGGGCCACCCAUCACCUGGAACCCACGGAGGUAAGCCGGCUUUCCUAAGUCCCCACAAGGUUCUCAGGUUUGUUCAGGUGAACACACCUGGAAACCAUGCUGCAUUCUUUCAUUCCCAGUAUUUUGUCAUGACAAUUUUCAAACAUACAGCAAAGUUGAACAAAUUUUACAGUGAAUGCCGGGAUUCUAUUGGUAACAUUUUACAAGAUCACUUUGCACUUUGGUUUUAAUGUUUAUUUAUUUUUGAGAGAGAGACAGAGAGAGAAUGAGCAGGGAAGGAGCAGAGAGAGGGGGGACAGAGGAUCCAAGCAGUCACUGAGAGCAGAGAGCCCGGUGCAGGGCUCAGACUCACGAACCGUGAGAUCAUGACCUGAGCCUAAGUUGGACGCUUAACCGAUUGAGCCACCCAGGUGCCCCAAUUAGAUGCCACAUUUUGUUAGAGUCUAGUGUGGACAAGCAGUGGAGACAGAGACCCCAGAGGAGUCUGAACUGGUUUUGUGGGACAUGACUUCGGCAGCAGGCUCCUUGCUCCCUCCUCUGUCAGGGACACCCAGUCUGCUUGUCCUGAGGCCACUUCCUGGACUGCAGCGGGACCGUCACCGUGAGCCGAUUCAGAUUCAUAUCCAGGACACUUCGCGUAUUGUGACCCCUUCCCUGGCUGUGCUGUGCUCGCCUGGGUGGCAUCGGGGUCCCAGCCACAGUUCUUUUCCUGUCGUGCUUCCCAGCGCCAUUCACAGCGAAGGGGUGGGCUUCUAGGUGCUGCUCACCACCCUCCUGGACGUGGAAUAAGAUGGAAAGUGACUCUUGAGUGACUGUUGAGGUCUCAAGGGAGAAACAGAGCACGGCAGAGCUUGUAGAAUAUGGCCUUUAGGGAGUAUGGUGGCCGUCACCGUGACCCCGAUGAUAAUCACGUUACAUUUCGUACAACUCCUGUUUCGUGCCAGGAACACUUCUAACUGUCCCCCAGCACGCAUGCGCGAACGCAUUUCCUCCUUAGCUCCUCAGCCAGGCCAGCUCGGGGCCAUCUUCUCAUAAGGAGACACCUGUCUCAUCCCCUGGAUGACCCUCUGCUCCCAUCACUACAGAACUCACAGUGUGACCACCCGUCCUGUGACCCCCCGUCAUGUCUCCCCAAUGCCAGGAUCCCCAAGAUACUGGAUCUGUGACUUUACUUUUUAAAACUUUGUAUUGGGACGCCUGGGUGGCUCCGUUGGUUGAGCAUCUGACUCUUGAUUUCAGCUCAUGUCAUGAUCCCAGAAUUGUGGGAUUGAGCCCCGAGUCAGGCUCUGCACUAAGCAUGGGGCCUGCUUAAGAUUCUCUCCCUCCCUCUCUCUCUCUCUCUCUUUCUCUCCCUCUGCCUCCCGCCCCACUCAAAAAAAAAAAAAAAAAAACUCUUGUUAUUUUUUAUCUCUUUUUAAUGCAUUAAAGUAUAGAGUGUAUGAAAGCUCUCAUACCCAUCACCUGGCUUCAACAAUUACCAAUUAACCACCUUUUUACUAUUCCUCCUGGUCUCUCCCUUCUCUCGACUCCUUUUGUUUUUCCAGGAGUAUUUUUUUUUUCAAUAGACUUUCUUUUUUAGCACAGUUUUAGAUUCACAGAAAAGGGGUGAAGAUAGCACACGGUUCGCAUACACCGGGCCCCCAGUCUCUCCACUGUAAAUAGUUUCCAUUAGUCUCGUACGUCUGUUAUAAUCAGUGAACCCAUAUUAAUGUAUCAUUGUUAACUAAAAUACGUACUUUAGUUUGGUUCCCUUGCCUUGUACUUAAUAUCCUUUUGGUGUUCCAGGACCCCAUCUAGGACACCGCGUUACAUGUCAUUGUCAUGUCCCCUGAGCUCCUCUGGGCUGUGACAGUGUCUCACACUUUCCUUGUUGUUAAUGACCUUGGCAGUCUUGAGGAGUACUGGACAGGCAUUUUGUAGGACGCCCCUCAGCUGGGCUUUGUCUUAUGGUUAGACUGGGCUAUGGGUUUGGGGGAGGAAGACCAUGGAGGGGAAGUGUCCUUCUAACCCGUCAUAGCAGGGCACCUGCCAUCAACAUGACUGAUAACGGUCAACGCUGACUUUCGUCAUCUGGGUGAGGUGCGUCUGUCGGCCUUCUCUGCUGUGAGGCCGCCCUGUCCUCCUGUCCGUUCUGUCCUCUUUGGGAGGAAGUCACUACACACAGCCCAGCCUUAAGGAGUGAGGAAUUACUCUCCAGCAUCUUGAGGGCAGAGUGCAGGGAGUAUUUUAAAGCAAAGCCCAGGCAUCCUGUCGCUUCGUGUUUAAAUACUUUAAAUACUGUGUUAAUAUACAUUUCUAAUGAUAAGGGCUUUUAUUUUUCUAAGUUUAUUUAUUUAUUUUGAGAGAGAGAGAGAGGGAGACAGAGAAUCCCAAGCAGGCCCCGUGCUGUUAGCGUCACUUGCACACAUUUUUGUAUAAACGUUCAGAGCAGCUGCGUCCAUGACAAGCCAAAGAUUGCCUGCAGCCACCAGAAGCUGGGAGAAUCCUGGAAAGAAUCCUCUCUCAGAGCCUCCAGAAGGAGUUAACCUUGCCGAUACCUUGAUUUCUGGCCGCGGACCCCCAGAACUGGGAGAGCACAGAUGGCUGCUUUUUUAAGCCAUUAAGAUCGUGGUGAUUUGUGACAGCAGGAAACCUGGGAAACCGAUACUCUGUGUGUGUGUGUGUGUGUGUGUGUGUGUGUGUGUGUGUGUACAUAUAUGUGUAUGUAAAUUUUCCAAAUUCCUGCUCAACAAUACAUCUCUUGGUGUAUACAUUUUUUGGAGAGCAUAGAUAGUGAAUUAAUACUGCUAUUUUCUCAUAUUUUGCAAAAACAAGGCAUCCCGACUGUGGGUACACGUACCUCGCGUGUCCCUUUGGUCUCAGCCUUGAGGACAGCGGCUUCAUCGGGGGCCCCUGUGGCCCUGGGAUUUGCUACCAGAAGGGGGGGCACGGGGCGCAGGGGAUCGCCCACCUCAACACGACUGGUGCAGUGAAAUCAAGCAUCCAAGUGACAGCAAGGAGCCCAGAAGGGAAAGUGCAGCCGCAAUUCCAUUUGGAGAAUUCAACCGCGAUUCGCCGUGUCCGCGCCUCAAGCAGAUAAAUGUCACCCUGGCUGGUUCCUGUUGGUUUUCUGCAGGCACUUAGCUACCACCCCGUGAGCUGGCUGUCUUCUGGAUGGUGUCUUUCGUGCCCCGUGAAAUAAGCACACGUCUCUUCCUGGAUGGGCCCCCUCGCUGAGCCACCCUAGACCCGCUCACGUCAACUGCCCUGGCCUCCAGGUCCUGCUGCUUCCCAGUAACUUGCUCCUUUAGAGCAAAGCACCCCAGAUCCAGCCCCUCUGCUUUGUUCGUGAGACCCUGCAUCUCGUCCUUCAGUUCGUUCAUUCAUUCAGUCAGUCAGUCAAUCACCUCAGUUCACCCCCUCCCACUGGUGAGUCAUUUCACCUGCGUCUCCCCCCAGCUGCCGGGCUGGCCCUCCAAAACCCAGACCGGAAGGAGCUCCUCCUGGUCCUGGAUCCUUCAGAGGCUUCCACACCAACCUCACGGUGCGGCUACGGGACCCUUCCCAUGGGGCACCACCCUUCCUUCCCCCCGCCGCCCACCCAUUCUACAUGAGGUCCAGACGCACAGAACGUGUUCGCACACACAGAUCCUUCCACUUGGGGUAACAAUGCUUCCACCUUCUCUGCCUGGUGAACUUUUCCUGACCCUAUGAGACCCAGCAUAAAACGCCCACUGUUUUAGGUGCACACCCAAAGGAAAUUGAAAGCAGGGACUCGCACAGAUAUUUUUACAUACGUGUUCAGAGCAGUGUUCACAACCACUAAGAGAUGGAAACAACCCAAGAGUCCAUCAACAGAUGAACGGAUAAACAACAUGUGGUCUAUACAUACAAUGGAAUAUUAUUCACCCAUAAAAAAGAAGGAAAUAAGCGAGACACAGAAGGGCAACUGUUGUAUGGAUGGUUUUAAUUAAAAGAAGUAGAUACCUAGAAUAGGAAAAUUAUCUCGAACUAGAAAGUAGAGUAGAGGUCUCCAGGGGCUGAGCAGAUGUCUUAGGGAGUCAGUGUUCCAUGGGCACAGAGUUUUUGUUGGGGGUGGAUGGAAAACUCUUAGGUAUAGAAGGUAUAGGUUCAACAAUACCGUAAAUGUAUCUGAUGUCACUGGUGUCCACUUAUGAAUGGCUGACCCCAUAACUACCAUGGCAUGUGUAUUUUAUCAUAAUUUUUAAAGAUUAAAAAAAAGCUUUUUAAUGUUUAUUUUUGAGAGAGAGAGAGAGAAAGAGAGACAGAGUGCCAGCAGGGGAGGGGCAGAGAGAGAGGGAGACACAGAAGCCGAAGCAGGCUUCCGGCUCUGAGCUGUCAGCACAGAGCCCGACACGGGGCUCAACCCCACGAACUGGGAGAUCAUGACCUGAGCCAAAGUUGGAUGUUUAACCGACUGAGCCACCCAGCACCGCUUCAGAAUUUUUUUAAAGCAACCUCUAUAGCCAGCGUGGGGCUCAAACUCACAACCCCGAGAUCAAGAGUCGCACACGCCAUUGAUUGAGCCAGCCAGGUGCCCCUGAUUUUUUAAAAAAAAAACUUUAAAAAAGAAAUUCCAGAUGCUCUGAGACACCUCCCUCAGUUUCCCAAACGUGACCAGUGCUUCCCUUCUCUGUACAUUUGGAGUCUUCCUGUGGUAGGCGUUUGCUGAAUCGCACCUUAAAUGUCCAUUCAUUUGGACAGGUCGGGGCGCCUGGCUGGCUCAGUCGGUUAAGCGUCGGACUUUGGCCUAGGUCAUGAUCUCAUGGUUCGAGCCCCGUGUGGGGCUCUGUGCUGACAGCUCGGAGUGUGGAGCCUGCUUCGGAUUCUGUGUCUCCCUCGUUCUCUGCCCCUCCCCCGCCCAUGCUCUCUCUCCCUCUUUCUCUCAAAAAUAAACAUUAAAAAAAUUUUUUUUAAAUGUCCAUUCAUGGGGCACCUGGCUGGCUCAGUGACUUAAGGAUCUGACUCUUGGUUUCAGCUCAGGUCCUGGUCUCACAGUUCGUGAGUUCAAGCCCUGCAUCGGGAGCCUGAUUGGGAUUCUCUCUCUCUCCCUCUCUCUCUGCCCCUCCCCUGCUCGCUCUCUCUGUCUCUCUCUCAAAAUAAAUAAAUAGACUUUUAAAAAACCUAUAAAAAAUAAAUAAA